Molecule: ribosomal RNA, 459 nt
Filed under: uncultured bacterium
Lineage: Bacteria
Description: partial 16S ribosomal RNA
Rfam family: Bacterial small subunit ribosomal RNA
Source: RNAcentral
CCUACGGGAGGCAGCAGUGAGGAAUAUUGGUCAAUGGACGAGAGUCUGAACCAGCCAAGUAGCGUGAAGGAUGACUGCCCUAUGGGUUGUAAACUUCUUUUAUAUGGGAAUAAAUGUUCCACGUGUGGGAUUUUGUAUGUACCAUAUGAAUAAGGAUCGGCUAACUCCGUGCCAGCAGCCGCGGUAAUACGGAGGAUCCGAGCGUUAUCCGGAUUUAUUGGGUUUAAAGGGAGCGUAGGUGGAUUUUUAAGUCAGUUGUGAAAGUUUGCGGCUCAACCGUAAAAUUGCAGUUGAAACUGGUAGGCUUGAGUACAGGAGAGGUGGGCGGAAUUCGUGGUGUAGCGGUGAAAUGCUUAGAUAUCACGAAGAACACCGAUUGCGAAGGCAGCUCACUGGACUGCAACUGACACUGAGGCUCGAAAGUGUGGGGAUCAAACAGGAUUAGAUACCCGAGUAGUC